Molecule: ribosomal RNA, 253 nt
Filed under: uncultured bacterium
Lineage: Bacteria
Description: partial 16S ribosomal RNA
Rfam family: Bacterial small subunit ribosomal RNA
Source: RNAcentral
UACGGGGGGGGCUAGCGUUGUUCGGAAUUACUGGGCGUAAAGGGCUCGUAGGCGGCCAACUAAGUCAUACGUGAAAUCCCUCAGCUUAACUGGGGAACUGCGUGUGAUACUGGAUGGCUUGGAUGUGGGAGAGGGAUGCGGAAUUCCAGGUGUAGCGGUGAAAUGCGUAGAUAUCUGGAGGAACACCGGUGGCGAAGGCGGCAUCCUGGACCAUUAUUGACGCUGAGGAGCGAAAGCCAGGGGAGCAAACGGG